GCCAGUGUAGCAUAGUGGUUUGAGUGUUGAACUAUGACUCUGGAGACCAGGGUUCAACUCCCCACUCGAGCG
This is a non-coding RNA of Phrynosoma platyrhinos (Desert horned lizard), 72 nucleotides long. The record is from the annotation of a GenBank genome assembly. NCBI's taxonomy places the organism in Eukaryota, Metazoa, Chordata, Lepidosauria, Squamata, Phrynosomatidae.